This 5584-nucleotide long non-coding RNA is filed under the name Salvia miltiorrhiza (redroot sage). RNAcentral describes it as "long non-coding RNA (SMIL_LNC006383)". Lineage: Eukaryota; Viridiplantae; Streptophyta; Magnoliopsida; Lamiales; Lamiaceae. The record is from RNAcentral.
AAAAAAGGAUUCUAGCCACACAUAGACAUAUGAACUAGAAUCAAUAUGUCAAUAAAAUAGAAAAAUAUUCAACAAUAAAACCGUAGUAAAAUCGAGAUUCUUCAGUUCUUGCUCUGGCUCCGUCCUCCGUCUCUCACAGCUCUUAGGAAAAGUAAAAUAUGAUUAAAAAACCAUUUUCAAUAUGUUUCUGGGUAGUAUUUAUAUGCCAUAGGACUCAAAAUAUAGGUCAAAACCGUGUAGGAUCGAAAAAUAGAUGAAAUAACUCCAAAAUCGCGCAAAAUCUGAGUUGGCACGCAGCCCAAGGCGCGGCCGCGCGCCCAGCCCGCAUGGCGAAAUAGAAAAUUCGUCGGACUCCUGAUAGCUUUGCGCAGUGAUUUUUUUGCUCGUUCUCUCUCCUCCGAACUCCGAUUUACGAUUCAUUUGCACUAACGAACUCCUCUCGAGAUGAACUACAACUUGUAUUUUAUCCAAUUCUUCCAAAUUUUGCUUCAUUAUUUCUGAAAAUUCGUUCAAACAACAAGCAAGUGACAAGUUCUUGACCAUAAACCAAUAUAAGCUCAAAUAAACCAUCAAACACACAAAAUCCUCAUAACUAAACAUCAAAUAUGAAACACCAAGAGGUUAAAAUGCAUGUUUAUAAGUUAACCGCCCAAAACCCGUGAUUUUUGCCUGAAAGAUCGCGCCGGUCCGCGCCUAGCCUGCCGCCUCGUCUGCCAUAAAGGGAACCGACGGUUAACCGCGGGCCGAGACCGAUGAUUAAUCAUCGGUUCUCGGUUCUGAAAAGUUGGUCCUGUAAAUGGACCACCCCUUCUGUCGGUUCCAGUUUCGGUUUAGGCGUGUGGUCAACGGGCCGAGCCAAAACCGUUGACCCCGGGCUGGUUCGGGCCGAAACUGUUGGGUCCGGUUCGAACUGGACAUCACUAAGUUGGAGUAAUUGCAUAUGUAAAAUCUCUUGUAUAAAUAGGUAAACUGCAACAUUUCUAUGACUAGAACUCGGCCUGGGUUUUAAAAAGCCCGAGGCGCACGAGGCGCAAACAUGCCUCGGAGCCUAGGCGCAGGGCUUUAAGCGCAGGCGCGGGCUUUUCGUAGGUGAGGCGCAGUAAAGCCUAAAAAAUUCUAAUAUAUUUACCUACAUUAUAUUUUAUACCAAAAACACAACUUAAAACCACAAAUAGUACUUAAACACACAUAUACUUAAUCCAAAACACACAAAUACUUAAUCCAAAACACACAAAUACUUAAGUUUUAAAAUAUGCAAGUCUAAAAGUACGAUCAAAUAUCAAACAAGUAAUCAAAAAUCAUCAUCCUCAAGUCCAUCAUCCUCAAAUGCGUCAUCCCCAUCAUCUUUGUCUUCACCAAUGUCCUCUUCCAUCUCAUUCACUUCCCUCUCCUCAUCUUCAUCCUCAUCUAAAAGCCUUCUCGAACUCGAAGCAACUACACUCUUUCCUUUAUCAACUCUAGAUGCCCGUCUAGUGCUAUAAAUAGGAUCAUUAGCUCCCGAAGCCUUACUAACGACAUUCCAUGUCAAAUCACCAUCCUCAAACACAAGAUCAUCUUCAUUAGAAGAUUCCCCAUCCAUAUGUCCAACCAACCAUUCAUUGCUAUCAUCAAUCUCUUCUAAUAGAAUAGGAUCUAUUGUGUCUUUCCUCUUGUAUCGCCUUUCCAAAGUGCGAUUAUACUUCACAUAAACCAAUUUAUUGAGCCGAUCUUGUGCCAAUCGGUUUCUCUUCUUGGUAUGAAGCUAUAAAAAUAUAAAAGAUAAUAGGUUAAAAUCAUAUUUAUGUAUUAUAGUCAAAGUAAAAUAAAAUAAUAACUUACAUGAUCAAAGACACUCCAAUUUCUCUCACAUCCGGUAGCACUACAAGUGAGGCUAAGAACUUUUAUCGCAAAUGAUUUGAGGUUGGGACUUGAAGAUCCAUAACAAGACCACCAAUCCGCUAUAGACAUUUUAAAAAUGACGGUUUGUUAGAAUAUGAAGCAUUAAUUAAUUCAACACUUAAUUAGAUUUUCAAAUAUAAAAUGUUACCUGGUGAUUUGACCUUUCUAUGUCUAAUUGCCAUUGCAUUGCCAAAUAGACCAUCUGCAUUUUUGUAGGCAUCCAACUCAGCCAUGACCUUGUCUUGAGUUGGUUCAUCGGGAAUCAACCUUUGAAUGCAUUCAUACAAGCCUUGCUCAAUCUCUUGGCAACUCACUUGAUCCGGAUUAUCAUAAUAGAUUUCCGGAUUAAGAAAGUAUCCGGCCGCAUGUAAAGGACGGUGAAGUUGGCAAUCCCAUCUUUUAUCAAUGAUCCCAAACGCUUCUUUGUAAUGCUCCUCCUUGUGACCAAAACUCUUAGCAAUAGCCUCCUUAGCUCUAUCCAUAGCUUCAUAAAUGUACCCCAUGGCCGGUUUUUUAUCCCCAUCAACCAUCCGAAGUACCGUCACAAGAGGACCUCCCAACUUAAGAGCAUACAACACAUUCCUCCAAAAUGUGUCUUGCAAAAUAUAAGCUGUCACCUUCUUUCCCCCCGCUUCCUUUGCCCACUUUGAAGCAUUCCACUCUUCCGAAGUCACCAUCUUCCUCAAGUUGUUCUUUUGCUUAUGAUAUUGUGCAAGAGUGAUAAAGGAAGUUGCAAACCUUGUGACCGCCGGUCGAUGCAAAUUCCUUUGAUUUGUGAAUCUUCUCAUCAUGUUGACAACGGCGACGUGGUUAUAUAUAUAACCAUUCAUGAAGAUCGCCUUCUUGAGGGCAUUCUUGAUCUUUGGAAGCUUUCCAAUAUCCUCCAACAUCAAGUCCACGCAAUGUGCGGCACAUGGAGUCCAAUAAAGAUGUGGUCUUUUUGUCAUAAGCAAUUUCCCUAUCAUAAAAGAUUAAAAGCUUUAAUACUUAAGAAAAUAAUAAAGUGAUUGUAUAAAAUUGAAGAUGAUUUAAAUUUCUUACCCGCUUUGACAUAGUUAGAUGCAUUAUCCGUCACCACUUGCACAACAUUUGCCUCUCCAACUUCCUCAACAAUAGAAUCAAGCAUUUGAAACAAAGUGAUUGCAUCUUUCACAACUUCGGAUACUUCCACCGAUUUGAUGAACACGGACCCUUUUGGAGAAUUGACAAGGAAGUUCACAAUAUCCUUUUGCACCACCGAAUCACGCCAUCCAUCGGAUAAAAUAGAACAUCCCUUUGUGGCCCAUUCUUUCUUGAACUCCAACACUUUGGUGUCCGUGUCUUCCACUUCCUUUUGAAGAAAAUGAACUCUUAGCUCAUACAUGCUCGGUGGUUCCAAUCCGGGACCAUAUUGUCCAAUUUCUUCAACCAUGUUCUUGAAACUAUCACUAGUGGCCGGAUGGAAAGGAAUAGCAUUGUCAUAAAAGAACCUUGCAAUUGCUUUACAAGCUCUUUCCCUACAUAACUUGUCACUAGCACCAAAGACUCCUUUUCUUUCUUUUCUUCCCUUCAAUACUUCAUGAGUUUGAGAACUAGGUUGGCUACAAGCAAGAUAAACAUCUAAAGGACCUUUCAUCCUCUUUGGAGCCGGGGCCUUCUUACUCGUCAUGGUGCGUGAGCUACCUCCAAUUUCCAUCUCUUCAUCCUCUUCUUGAUCAUCAACAUCUUCAACACAUUGAGGUGGAUUUUUAGCAAAAUGCUUCAUCACUUUGCUAGUUGCUUUCUUCAUCAUAUAAGCAUUCACUUCUACUCGAACAUGUUCCGGAGCCUUAGGACAUUUCUUUGCAUUCCUAUAACCACCCACUAUAUGUUGUUUCAUGCGAAAUGCUCCUCCAUUUGUCACUUUUAGACAAAAUUGACAAGUCCACGCAUAAGGAUUGGUUGGAUUCGGUGUCCCAUAUUUUCUAGCCGGAUCCCGCUCAUCAUCAUCCCCCGUUGAUGAUGAUACACGAGACUUACCCGAAGACAUUGAGAUUUUGAGAGUAAAACUGAAAUUAAAAAAUAAAAUUUAUUCAAUUAUAAAUUUAUAACAUCAAUCAAAACUGAAAUUAUAAAAAACAACUUAAAAAACUGACCUACAAUGUUGAAUUUGAAAAUUGAAACUCAAAAACAACUUCAAAAACUGAACUACAAUAUUGCAUUUAAAAGUUGAAAUUCAAAAUAAACUUCAAAAACUGAAAUACAAGUUAAAACUCAAAAAAUGAACUUCAAAAACUGAAGCCUUACGUGCUGGAGGCUGGCGGCGGCGGCGGCGGACGGCUGGGGCUGGCGGCGGCGGCGGGGGCUGGCUGGCGACGCCGGUAUGUGAGCAAAGAGGGGAAGACGCAAGGAGAGAGAAGAGAGGAGAAAUGAGGCGCGGCUGGUGUGUUAUUUUUUUAGUUUUAAACAAAAUUGUACCCUAACCCUAAUUCUACAUAAGGUGGCGCCUUAGUGAGCCUGCGCCUAGGCGCGCCUUUCGCGCCUUAUUGCGCCUUGGCUGCGCCUCUAGUAGGUUCCCGCGCCUUGCCUAAAAAGGCCCCCCCACCCUGCGCCUCGCUUAAGGCGCGCGCCUAGGCGCGCUUUUUAAAACCCAGAACUCGACAUCUCUUCUCUGAGUGAUUUCAGUAUGAUUUUAUCUGCAUUAUAGUGGGAAACGAUUCACCAAAAAAAAUUCACACCAAACCACUCACAUGUGCUCUAUUAAAACAUUACAAAUAGAGUUACAACUGCGAAUCUACAUGGUGUUGUUCUAUGAGAUGGUGCCUUACUUAAGGCAAAGGAAAAUUAAAUGAUGUCAAAAAUGGAUUGUUUUGGCAGACAUGAAAUUUUUCCAGUUGCACACCCCCUAAAGUUUUCAUUAUGUGCAUUAACAGAUAUGUAGAUUAGAUGAAUAGAAAAUCGACAUAUGCCCGAUUUAAAAACUCUUCAUCAUUCACCACAACAUGAUAUAUACACAUUUCUGAAAAGAACAUUUACAACAUAAGAAUACAUGAUUCACACAAACACCAGCGGAUGCACACAUUCACAUGAGCAACAAUGUCAUCAAAUGAGAAACAGAAGUAUAUCCACGUAUGUAUAUCAACCAAUUAUACCUCAUACUUGCCCAUUAAAAUUGGAUAUCUUUGGAGAAGCAGCCAAAGAAUUUCGAGAACAGUCGCCAAGAAACCUAGAAGCAGCUUGAUACCUUCAAAAUUGGGUCUCGAUAUUCAAAUAAUUAAAAAUUCAAUUAGUUUCGAUAAAACAAUGUUGUUAGAGCAAUGAGAUGAAUUUUAAUUUGAGAUUCCACAAAAUGUAGUGCACACGAAAAAACCCUAGAAACUUCUCGAGGAUUGGAGUGCGCAUGAUAGAAAUUUGUACCUUCUUCAGAUUUCUCGCAGUAAGAGAUACAUAUAAGAAAUAUGACAGCCAAAAAUUAAUUUUACCUUGUUCAGAUUUCAGGACGAACAAUAUUCUUCAAACCAGACAUCGACGAGCUCACUCUAGAAUAAUGUAUUCUGCACCCAACCUAAAAAUAUUUUAAUUGGAAUUGUGGAUAAAAUUGUAACCUAACAAUAUAACUAGGAACACUGUAGCCGUUCCGAAUCUGUAUCUGAGGCUGAGCUGCGGUACUGCAUUUAAUGUUACUCCUUCCGUCUAAUAUUAAUGACUCGUUUCUUUUAGGCACAAGUAUUUAGGAAAGUUAAAUUAG